RNAcentral lists this ribosomal RNA (414 nucleotides) under Triticum aestivum (bread wheat). RNAcentral's name for it is "partial small subunit ribosomal RNA". Lineage: Eukaryota; Viridiplantae; Streptophyta; Magnoliopsida; Poales; Poaceae. The record is from RNAcentral.
AUGGCCGACGUCGGCAUCCUCCGGCUCGAGGACUACACGUAUUGGCGCAUGCAUGCGGUGAUGAACGCACUAUUGGGCAUAAAAGCGGAGCCAUGGCCCGGGUACCACGUCGGCAUGGAGUUGCGCCUGCCAGAGCCGGUGCACGUGCAGUGCGCGGACGAAGAUGAAGCCGCCGACGGCGACUGCGAGCGGCCGGCGAAGCGGAGGAAGAUCGUCACGGAGGAGGGCGCCGCGCAGAAGUGCCCCAUCUGUCUCGACCCGCUGGAGAGCGACGCCGCCGCGUGGCCCGGGUGCUCCUCGCCCCACGUCUUCCAUGGCGCGUGCCUUGAGGGGACGCUCAAGGAGAGCCAGAAGUGCCCCAUCUGCAGGCGCAGGCUGUCGGCCCAGGAUGAAGAAGUCAGGGCUGAAGCCUAG